This 400-nucleotide ribosomal RNA is filed under the name Alcaligenes faecalis. RNAcentral describes it as "bacterial SSU rRNA". It matches the Rfam family "Bacterial small subunit ribosomal RNA", at positions 43 to 441 of the family's 1533-position model. Lineage: Bacteria; Pseudomonadati; Pseudomonadota; Betaproteobacteria; Burkholderiales; Alcaligenaceae. The record is from RNAcentral.
GGAGCUUUCCAUGCAGUCGAACGGCAGCGCGAGAGAGCUUGCUCUCUUGGCGGCGAGUGGCGGACGGGUGAGUAAUAUAUCGGAACGUGCCCAGAUAGCGGGGGAUAACUACUCGAAAGAGUGGCUAAUACCGCAUACGCCCUACGGGGGAAAGGGGGGGAUCGCAAGACCUCUCACUAUUGGAGCGGCCGAUAUCGGAUUAGCUAGUUGGUGGGGUAAAGGCUCACCAAGGCAACGAUCCGUAGCUGGUUUGAGAGGACGACCAGCCACACUGGGACUGAGACACGGCCCAGACUCCUACGGGAGGCAGCAGUGGGGAAUUUUGGACAAUGGGGGAAACCCUGAUCCAGCCAUCCCGCGUGUAUGAUGAAGGCCUUCGGGUUGUAAAGUACUUUUGGCA